CACAAUUAACUACCAAUUGUUCGCCAAACAACUACGAGCCAUACUUGAAACUUAAAAGACUUGACGGUACUUCAUCACGGCCUAGAGGAGCCUGUCCAAUAACCGACAAUCCACGAUUAACCCAGCCCCUCCUUGCCCAACAGUCUAUAUACCACCGUCGCCAGCUUACCUUGUAAAAGAAAUAAAGUGAGCUAGAUAGUACAACACUAAAACGACAGGUCGAGGUGUAACUUAUGAAGGGGACCAAGAUGGGCUACAUUCUCCAACCGAGAAUACGAAUAACACUAUGAAACUAAUGUUUGAAGGCGGAUUUAGCAGUAAGAUAAGAAUAAAACACUUGACUGAACACAACGCAAUGAAGUGCGUACACACCGCCCGUCAUCCCUGCCACCAC
RNAcentral lists this ribosomal RNA (394 nucleotides) under Gloydius intermedius (Central Asian pitviper). RNAcentral describes it as "partial 12S ribosomal RNA". The record is from RNAcentral. Lineage: Eukaryota; Metazoa; Chordata; Lepidosauria; Squamata; Viperidae.